UUCCGGGGCACCAGGCACAGAUUUCCUUUCCAUGUGCACCCACCCUUUUCCCAGCACAAUGCUUUGCCCACAGAAUGUUUGCAAUACUUCUUACGAGAAUGUACGAGAGCAAAUGUAUCUGAUGACGCCAGUUGAAGAUGUAAGAUGUGGAUGCCACUAACCUAAGAGGACAGAAGACUGGAUGGAAGCACUUGAACGGUUCUCUUCUUGGGGGACAAGUGUAUUAUCUGGUAAAAUUAAUGUAAGUGGUUGUAGGAAAAGGUAUAGUUUAAGGAAGGAUCAGUAGACAGGUUCUUUUAUUUUACAUGGGAGGAGGAUGGUUCUCUUUUCUAUGAUCAUUUUUGGUGGAUUUCAUAUACUUCUGCCUUAUACCUUGAAGCUGGACAGACAAAUCUAGGAAACCUACUAGCCAGAGAUUAAUCAGAAUGGCCUACAGCUCUUCAGCCUUACUGUAGCAAGGUCCUCGGACCCCUUUGCUCUGUUCUGCCCUUGACCUUGGGUCUUCUUCCAUUCUGUUUCCUACCUGACUCUUGCUUAUGUUGACUUGGCCUUGUGUCUCAGAUCCUGUUUUUCUUUUCACCUUGAUGACUAGUUGGACUUUCAGUGCCCUCUCUGGGACACCCGUGGCUCUUCCAGCCUCAAGCUGGGUCUGUAAUCUUGUUUGCAAAACAUUCCCCAGCUGGACCUCCAAGGCUCCACCGCAGGAGAGGAUCAGGUGAUUUCAAUGUUCUGUGAAGGCCAAAGGCCAGCAUUAGGAAACUCCCAGGGCUGUGUAACCAGUGAUUAUGAAAACCCGGUUGCAAAGCAGCAGAGCAUGUGUGGCGGAAGCUAAGAGCACACAACAUUUGGCAUUUUGGUUGUGAGGAGUACUCUUCAGCGUCAUGAAAGACAAAACGAGGCUUUGGGAACAGUCCAGGUAAAAGGAGCUGGGAGAGACAUGGCUACCCAAUGCCACGUGUGAUCCUGGAUUGCUUUGACCGACUGAAGGGCACCAAUGGGCCAAAUCGAAUCUCCGGAUCUGGAGAUUAGCAGAGAACAGAGAACUGCGGAGAGAGAUUCGGGGCAGGGCAUUUGGAUAACGGACGAAUGUACCGAGAGCUUGAGAUGCUUCCGG
Molecule: long non-coding RNA, 1114 nt
Organism: Manis pentadactyla (Chinese pangolin)
Lineage: Eukaryota; Metazoa; Chordata; Mammalia; Pholidota; Manidae
Exons: 4
Source: RefSeq, a predicted model, not a curated record